Long non-coding RNA from Oncorhynchus tshawytscha (Chinook salmon), 482 nucleotides. NCBI's taxonomy places the organism in Eukaryota, Metazoa, Chordata, Actinopteri, Salmoniformes, Salmonidae. The record is from Ensembl.
UAAAGAGGGAGUUUACCUGCUGGUGGUGAUGGAGACCAGACUACAGAGGGAGUUUACCUGCUGGUGGUGAAGGAGACCAGACUACAGAGGUAAAGAGGGAGUUUACCUGCUGGUGGUGAAGGAGACCAGACUACAGAGGGAGUUUACCUGCUGGAGGUGAAGGAGACCAGACUACAGAGGGAGUUUACCUGCUGGUGGUGAAGGAGACCAGACUACAGAGGGAGUUUACCUGCUGGUGGUGAAGGAGACCAGACUAAAGAGGGAGUUUACCUGCUGGUGGUGAAGGAGACCAGACUACAGAGGUAAAGAGGGAGUUUACCUGCUGGUGGUGAAGGAGACCAGACUACAGAGGUAAAGAGGGAGUUUACCUGCUGGUGGGGAAGGAGACCAGACUACAGAGGGAGUUUACCUGCUGGUGGUGAAGGAGACCAGACUACAGAGGUAAAGAGGGAGUUUACCUGCUGGUGGUGAAGGAGACCAGA